RNAcentral lists this ribosomal RNA (253 nucleotides) under uncultured bacterium. Its description in RNAcentral is "partial 16S ribosomal RNA". It matches the Rfam family "Bacterial small subunit ribosomal RNA", at positions 524 to 776 of the family's 1533-position model. The record is from RNAcentral.
UACAGAGGUCUCAAGCGUUGUUCGGAUUCAUUGGGCGUAAAGGGUGCGUAGGCGGCGCGGUAAGUCGGGCGUGAAAUCUCGGAGCUUAACUCCGAAACUGCAUUCGAUACUGCCGUGCUUGAGGACUGGAGAGGAGACUGGAAUUUACGGUGUAGCGGUGAAAUGCGUAGAUAUCGUAAGGAAGACCAGUGGCGAAGGCGGGUCUCUGGGCCGAUACUGACGCUGAGGAGCGAAAGCGUGGGGAGCAAACAGG